Molecule: small nuclear RNA, 105 nt
Organism: Perognathus longimembris pacificus (Pacific pocket mouse)
Lineage: Eukaryota; Metazoa; Chordata; Mammalia; Rodentia; Heteromyidae
Source: RefSeq, a predicted model, not a curated record
AUGUUCACUUUAGCAGCAUACAUACCAAAAUUGAAAUAGUACAGAGAAAAAUCAGCAUAGCACUUGCACAAGGCUGAGAAAAAUUUUCAUGGAAGUACCUUGUGU